Non-coding RNA from Oryctolagus cuniculus (rabbit), 2921 nucleotides. The record is from RefSeq and is a predicted model, not a curated record. Lineage: Eukaryota; Metazoa; Chordata; Mammalia; Lagomorpha; Leporidae.
AGAGUGGAGGGCUAAAGAGAGGGCCUGGUGACUGAACACUGGGCCACCUACAGCUGCCUCAAUCCAGAAGCCCGCGAUGGAGAGCCAGGAGGGAUGUCACGGAGGUACUGUGUCAUCCUCAGCCAUGCUGGCCCUGUGAGCUGCCAGCCUUCUCUCACAUUGCUUCUGGUUCACUUGGAGACCACACAGCUGGUUAAGGGGACACUCCCUCCCUCUUUCUUUUUCCUCAUAUGGUGGUAAAAUAUGCAUGACAAAACCGACCAUGUGAAAACUGUUACUGUAAAUUCAUUUUGAAAGGAGAAGCACAGUGGGGGCAAGAGGUGGGGAGUCACGACACAGACACCCGGAGUCAGGUGAAAGCCGGCUAGAGGUGAGCAGCUUGCAGACUCUUGCAGUUGGUGUAGCAGCUUAUCUAGCCAAGGCAGCCAAUCUGGUCAAUGGAUGGUUUAUGCCAUAACCAAUCACUGCCUGUUGCUAGGCAGGCUCCUUUGCCAGGUGGGUUCCGAAGCCAUUUCCUGAGUAACUGACACUCGCUCACCAGUGCCAUCUUGGCAAGGUCAGCUCAUUCCACCACAGUUAAUUAGGUUACCUCUACGUGCCUUAUUUGGUCACAGCUCAACAGUCCUCUAUAGCUGGUACCCUGUACUUCAUGUGGAUUGCAUGACACCAGGUGGCAGGUGGUCAUUGUCCCUUAAGUUAUGAGAUCCUUUUUGAGGUAUCCAGGAGCACCUGAGCAGGAGUUGAGACUUGGAAAGUACCAGAAUGUUUUGCUGCUGUGACCAGGGCAAAAGAAGUCACCAGUGACAUUGACGGGUGUUUCCCUCUCUGCGAUUCUUUUAAAGUUGGCUGGAAAAUUUCUUCUCCCUGUUCAACAUAUUCAACUGCCAUGAAGAGUGUGUUCCAUGCUCCAAGCAUCCAAAUGUAUGGAAUUUUUAGGCUCUACCGUUUGUCUGAAAUGAAGCAAUGGAUCUGCAAACUCAUUGGUCUCUUCUUCAGUUAUCUGUCCUGGGCUUUUGGUGUGAGCCUUGUCAACAGCAGAUCCUGGCGCGUGUGGGAAUUCGACAGCCAGACUGUGCCUUUUGUGUUCAUUGGAUUUUGGGAAGCCUUCUAUUACAAAAGAGUUAACAUCUCUGGUUCAGUAACGGAGGUGCCGAUGUCUAGCACUAUCAAUGCAAGCUGGGUCAUUUCGACUGAGAUUGAAUAUGGGCGGGACCUGAUAGUGCUGCCUAUUUUUAUGAAGACGACUGUUCUGAUCUUCAGCACAGUGGCCGUUCUGGUCAGCUGGAUGAAGGCACCAUACCCAGAGUUCAUCCAAAUGUGUUACAAAAUAUCUGUCUUCUUCCUUUUCACCAGCUGUGGCUGUACCUUCACUGUAGUGAUCUGGAAUUUCACUGUGGAUUUUUAUGGGCAAAGCACUCUUGACUUUCCCCUUACCUUUCCUGUUGACAAAGAAAUCCUGAUAAGGAAACACUUCAGCUAUGUGUUUCCAGCAGGAAUCUCGACAGCCACUCUAUCACUAGUAAGUGCCACCAUGUUUCUCUGUGAGUUAUGUUUAGCAGAACGGCGGAAUCGAGUAAAACCCCUGCCUGUGGACGAUCAUUCAAAGGAAAAGGUCUGAACUGAGGGCUUUCUCAGUUUUGGAAGUUUUGGAAGUUUUCUCAGUUUUUGGAAGGCUGCUGGUAGAAAUUUCUUGAAGAAAUUUUCUGCAUACAGAAAAUACUGUGGCUAUCAUCUACACAUUGAAUGUAACACAUAUUUGACUCUUGUAGUGUGUGUCUCAAGCUUAUAUUCUCUUCUGUUCCGUUCUGUAAAGCUACCCAUCUCUGAAGCAUUUCUCUUCUUGAAAUCUGCAGGCAAACAUCUUCUGUACACACACUGCCAAAAACCAAAAGCAGGGGAAAGUACUGAUGGUCUAGUGCAAGCAUGCAUCAGUGAGCACAAGCAACUCCACGCUGAGUGAGUUUAUUAAAAAAAAAAGCUCAUAUGUACACAUAGGAAAAUCACCAUGUUUGCAGCUAAGAAAUCUCAAAGCCCUUACAGUUGGUUAGGUUAGAGCAGGGUUCCUCAAAUGGGGGCCCACUUGACAUUUUGGAUGGAGUUCCUUUUGGGGAUACCUAGCAGUUUCUGUACCCAUUCAAUGUCAGUCACACAUGCCUCUCUCUCCAGCUGUGACCACCCCAAAUUUCAGACAUUUCCAUGUAUCUGCUGAUGAGCACAAUUGAUCUGUCUUGCAAAUCCCUGGGGUACAUGUAGCCAAUGACCCAGAAGAAUGAAAGUUAUGAAAUGUUGACAGGAUUUGGAGGAAAAUUGGUUAUCAAAUAAAACUGCAUAGGCUCAGCCUACCACAGCAUUCUGUGCCCUGGUCAUUGGCUACCAUUAGCUUAGGGGCCGACUGGGGAAGACUUUGCUUCCUCUUCCCGGGGACAUCUGGCAGUGGCAAUGGCAGUGACAAAAUGUAAUCUCAGAACUACAACACUCCAUCAUAAGGUUAGAGAGCCUGAUAAACAAUGAUGAUGAGAGAACUGGGAAUCUUAGGUUAAAAAUAUGAAGAAGUUGCCUGAAACAGCAUGAAUGACAGGGAAACUGAAAACAUGAUAGAGCACUUCAGAGGCAGGGAAAACAGAAUGAGAAGUCCCAAUGUAUGUUCCAAGGACUUUUUGUGGAAUAAAAGUUUGCUGUGAACUAGUUGAAAGGUUGAAGAUUUUCCAGAAUUGUGAAAAACAUGAAUCUUCAGAUUGAGGAAAUACAUACGUCUCGAGCAGGUUAAAUUAUCACAGAUUCACACCUGGAUAUAUGAAGACAUGCUUCAAAAAGCUUGUGGGAAAAGAAAUUUAAAAGUAAGUUUAUUUUGGUGCAAAAUAGUUUUGGAAUCCUUGCGCAGUUAUUUUUUUUUUGAGAAUUAUUUAAUUUAUUUGAAAGUC